ACUCAAAUGAAUUGACGGGGGCCCGCACAAGCGGCGGAGCAUGCGGAUUAAUUCGAUGCAACGCGAAGAACCUUACCAAGGCUUGACAUGACCGAGAACACCCUGGAAACAGGGGACUCUUUGGACACUCGGUUACAGGUGGUGCAUGGUUGUCGUCAGCUCGUGUCGUGAGAUGUUGGGUUAAGUCCCGCAACGAGCGCAACCCUCGUCGCAUGUUGCCAGCACGUUAUGGUGGGGACUCAUGUGAGACUGCCGGGGUCAACUCGGAGGAAGGUGGGGAUGACGUCAAAUCAUCAUGCCCCUUAUGUCUUGGGCUUCACGCAUGCUACAAUGGCCGGUACAAAGGGCUGCGAUGUCGUAAGGCGGAGCGAAUCCCAAAAAGCCGGUCUCAGUUCGGAUUGAGGUCUGCAACUCGACCUCAUGAAGUCGGAGUCGCUAGUAAUCGCAGAUCAGCAACGCUGCGGUGAAUACGUUCCCGGGCCUUGCACACACCGCCCGU
RNAcentral lists this ribosomal RNA (499 nucleotides) under uncultured bacterium. Its description in RNAcentral is "partial 16S ribosomal RNA". It matches the Rfam family "Bacterial small subunit ribosomal RNA", at positions 899 to 1397 of the family's 1533-position model. The record is from RNAcentral.